RNAcentral lists this ribosomal RNA (253 nucleotides) under uncultured bacterium. RNAcentral's name for it is "partial 16S ribosomal RNA". It matches the Rfam family "Bacterial small subunit ribosomal RNA", at positions 524 to 776 of the family's 1533-position model. The record is from RNAcentral.
UACGUAGGGUGCAAGCGUUGUCCGGAAUUAUUGGGCGUAAAGAGCUCGUAGGCGGUUUGUCGCGUCUGCUGUGAAAUCCCGAGGCUCAACCUCGGGCCUGCAGUCGAUACGGGCAGGCUAGAGUUCGGUAGGGGAGACUGGAAUUCCUGGUGUAGCGGUGAAAUGCGCAGAUAUCAGGAGGAACACCGGUGGCGAAGGCGGGUCUCUGGGCCGAAACUGACGCUGAGGAGCGAAAGCGUGGGGAGCAAACAGG